CGGGGGGCAGCAGUGGGGAAUAUUGGACAAUGGGGGCAACCCUGAUCCAGCAAUGCCGCGUGUGUGAAGAAGGCCUGAGGGUUGUAAAGCACUUUCAGUGGGGAGGAGGGUAUGUAGGUUAAGAGCUAGCAUACUGGACGUUACCCACAGAAGAAGCACCGGCUAACUCCGUGCCAGCAGCCGCGGUAAUACGGAGGGUGCGAGCGUUAAUCGGAAUUACUGGGCGUAAAGGGUGCGUAGGUGGUUUGGUAAGUUAUCUGUGAAAUCCCUGGGCUCAACCUGGGCAGGUCAGAUAAUACUGCUGGACUCGAGUAUGGGAGAGGGUAGUGGAAUUUCCGGUGUAGCGGUGAAAUGCGUAGAGAUCGGAAGGAACACCAGUGGCGAAGGCGGCUACCUGGCCUAAUACUGACACUGAGGCACGAAAGCGUGGGGAGCAAACAGGAUUAGAUACCCCAGU
This 457-nucleotide ribosomal RNA is filed under the name uncultured Legionella sp. Its description in RNAcentral is "bacterial SSU rRNA". It matches the Rfam family "Bacterial small subunit ribosomal RNA", at positions 342 to 791 of the family's 1533-position model. The record is from RNAcentral. Lineage: Bacteria; Pseudomonadati; Pseudomonadota; Gammaproteobacteria; Legionellales; Legionellaceae.